RNAcentral lists this transfer RNA (72 nucleotides) under Haliotis rubra (blacklip abalone). RNAcentral's name for it is "tRNA-Glu". It matches the Rfam family "tRNA". Rfam says of the family: Transfer RNA (tRNA) molecules are approximately 80 nucleotides in length. Their secondary structure includes four short double-helical elements and three loops (D, anti-codon, and T loops). Further hydrogen bonds mediate the characteristic L-shaped molecular structure. tRNAs have two regions of fundamental functional importance: the anti-codon, which is responsible for specific mRNA codon recognition, and the 3' end, to which the tRNAs corresponding amino acid is attached (by aminoacyl-tRNA synthetases). tRNAs cope with the degeneracy of the genetic code in two manners: having more than one tRNA (with a specific anti-codon) for a particular amino acid; and 'wobble' base-pairing, i.e. permitting non-standard base-pairing at the 3rd anti-codon position. The record is from RNAcentral. Lineage: Eukaryota; Metazoa; Mollusca; Gastropoda; Lepetellida; Haliotidae.
UCCCAGGUGGUCUAGUGGUUAGGAUUUGACGCUCUCACCGCCACGGGCGGGGUUCGAUUCCCCGUCUGGGAA